Molecule: ribosomal RNA, 233 nt
Filed under: uncultured Actinomycetales bacterium
Lineage: Bacteria; Bacillati; Actinomycetota; Actinomycetes; Actinomycetales
Description: partial 16S ribosomal RNA
Rfam family: Bacterial small subunit ribosomal RNA
Source: RNAcentral
GGCGAACGGGUGAGUAACACGUGGGUGAUCUGCCCUGCACUUCGGGAUAAGCCUGGGAAACUGGGUCUAAUACCGGAUAGGACGAUGGUUUGGAUGCCAUUGUGGAAAGCUUUUCGGUGUGGGAUGAGCUCGCGGCCUAUCAGCUUGUUGGUGGGGUAAUGGCCUACCAAGGCGUCGACGGGUAGCCGGCCUGAGAGGGUGUACGGCCACAUUGGGACUGAGAUACGGCCCAG